Molecule: long non-coding RNA, 711 nt
Organism: Magnolia sinica
Lineage: Eukaryota; Viridiplantae; Streptophyta; Magnoliopsida; Magnoliales; Magnoliaceae
Exons: 3
Source: RefSeq, a predicted model, not a curated record
AAACCCCUCUCUUGUUCCCUCGCUCUCCCUCUCCCUCUCCCUCCCCUUUCAAUCUCUAUGGAGUGACGCCAGUGGUGCAUCUAUUUGACCAGUGAUGUGUCUAUUUGACCAGUGGUUGUUCUGUCUUGUAUUGAGGGAAGCCCAGCUACUCGUGCUGGCAUACAUGAAGGAGAUGAGCUGAUUGAGAUUGAUGGGCAGACGCUUGAUGGUCUUGAUGUUGAGGCUGUAGCACAGAAGCUUCGAGGGUUGUGUUGAGACAACAUUUAUAAUAGAACUUCACAAUGUAAUGAGCCUUUCUUUUUCGUCAUUUUAUGAUAACAUGGUGUUCACCAAUAGUUGCUCCCAUUAAGGUUGCAUAAUUUAGCGUUAUCCAUCGCUAAUAUUUAUUAUUUUUACUUUUCCAAGUUCUACAUCGCUUUAAAUUGAAGCAUGCCUUGUUACUGGUUAACUUCUAUUCUGUUUUCUGAUAUAUCAAUGUUCUCUACCAAGGUAUUCCGUAAUGGUAACGGUGGCUAUAACGGCUACCACCGUUACCUUUACGAUACGGGUCACAACCGCUGUUACAUCUCCCAUAACGGCCGUUACAUUCUAUUUUUUUCAUUGAAAGAAAAUCAGUGGAUCCCUGAGUGUGGGUCCCACUGUAAUGUAGGUGCCUUAAAUCUAUGCUACCCAUACGUUUGGACAUAUCAUUUUAGAGUAUGAUCUAAAAAU